GACGAACCGUGCGAACGUUAUUCGGAAUCACUGGGCUUAAAGCGCGUGUAGGCGGCCCGGCACGUCAUCGGCUGAAAUCCCCCGGCUCAACCGGGGAAGGGGCCGUGAUACGACCGGGCUGGAGGGGGGUAGGGGGGACGGGAACUCACGGUGGAGCGGUGAAAUGCGUUGAGAUCGUGAGGAACGCCCGCGGCGAAAGCGCGUCCCUGGACCCCACCUGACGCUGAGACGCGAAAGCCAGGGGAGCGAACGGG
This 254-nucleotide ribosomal RNA is filed under the name uncultured bacterium. RNAcentral's name for it is "partial 16S ribosomal RNA". It matches the Rfam family "Bacterial small subunit ribosomal RNA", at positions 524 to 776 of the family's 1533-position model. The record is from RNAcentral. RNAcentral also lists the same sequence under 1 other name.